UACAGAGGUCUCAAGCGUUGUUCGGAUUCAUUGGGCGUAAAGGGUGCGUAGGUGGCGCCGUAAGUCAGGUGUGAAAUUUCGGAGCUUAACUCCGAAACUGCAUUUGAUACUGCGGUGCUUGAGGACUGGAGAGGAGACUGGAAUUACGGUGUAGCAGUGAAAUGCGUAGAGAUCGUAAGGAAGACCAGUGGCGAAGGCGGGUCUCUGGACAGUUCCUGACACUGAGGCACGAAGGCCAGGGGAGCAAACGGGG
This 253-nucleotide ribosomal RNA is filed under the name uncultured bacterium. RNAcentral describes it as "partial 16S ribosomal RNA". It matches the Rfam family "Bacterial small subunit ribosomal RNA", at positions 524 to 777 of the family's 1533-position model. The record is from RNAcentral.